This 1869-nucleotide ribosomal RNA is filed under the name human gut metagenome. RNAcentral's name for it is "bacterial LSU rRNA". It matches the Rfam family "Bacterial large subunit ribosomal RNA", at positions 1065 to 2925 of the family's 2925-position model. The record is from RNAcentral.
GGCAAAGGAUGUGCGUCCGCCCAGACAACCAGGAUGUUGGCUUAGAAGCAGCCAUCCAUUCAAAGAGUGCGUAACAGCUCACUGGUCGAGUGGACAUGCGCCGACAAUACACGGGGCUAAGCUGGACACCGAAGCGGCGGGAUUUUAAUUCAUUAGAAUCGGUAGGGGAGCUUCCCAUGGGCGGAGAAGCCGGAGGGCGACCGACGGUGGAGCGCAUGGGAGUGAGAAUGCUGGCAUGAGUAGCGAGAGACGAGAGAGUAACUCGUCCGCCGUGAACCCGAGGUUUCCUGGGCAAGGCUAAUCCUCCCAGGGUCAGUCGGGGGCUAAGGCGAGGCCGGGAGGCGUAGCCGACGCGCAGCAGGCAGACAUUCCUGCACCGCGCACGCGGCGCUACGACCGACGGGGCGACGGAUGGGGGUGGCUCGGCGGGGUUCUGGACGUCCCCGUGAUGGAGCGCGGCCCGCGGACCAGGGAAAUCCGGUCCGCAGAAGGGCGAGGCUCCGGACGAAGCGACUGAGCGAAGCGAGUGAGCCCGAGGUCCCUAGAAAAACCCCUAGGCAGGCGCGUGCGCGCCCGUACCGCAAACCGACACAGGUGGGUGGGUAGAACAUACCGAGGCGAUCGGGUCAACCAUGGUCAAGGAACUCGGCACAAUGGCCCCGUAACUUCGGGAGAAGGGGUGCCCGCGCGUACGUGAACGGACUUGCUCCGGGAGCGGAGGCGGGCCGCAGUGGAGAGGCCCAAGCGACUGUUUACCAAAAACACAGGACUCUGCAGAAGCCGCAAGGCGACGUAUAGGGUCUGACGCCUGCCCGGUGCCGGAAGGUCACGCGGAGGAGUUAGCGCAUCGCGCGAAGCCCCGAAGCCAAGCCCCGGUAAACGGCGGCCGUAACUAUAACGGUCCUAAGGUAGCGAAAUUCCUUGUCGGGUAAGUUCCGACCUGCACGAAAGGCGCAACGACUUGGGCGCUGUCUCGACCAUGGACCCGGUGAAAUUGCACUGGUCGUGAAGAUGCGACUUACCCGCGGAAGGACGGAAAGACCCCGUGAACCUUCACUGCAGCUUGGCAUUGGCCGCUGGUCCCGCGUGUAGAGGAUAGGCAGGAGGCAUCGAUCCGGAGGCGCCAGCCCCCGGGGAGCCGCCCUUGGAAUACUGCCCUCGCGCGACCGGCGUCCUAACCCGAGGCCGUCAACCGGCUCGGGGACCGUGCCAGGCGGGCAGUUUGACUGGGGCGGUCGCCUCCUAAAGGGUAACGGAGGCGCGCGAAGGUCCGCUCGGGACGGUCGGCAACCGUCCUUUUGAAUGCAAGAGUACAAGCGGGCUUGACUGCGAGGCCCACAAGCCGAGCAGGUGCGAAAGCAGGCUCUAGUGAUCCGGCGGCCCCGAGUGGGUGGGCCGUCGCUCAACGGAUAAAAGGUACUCCGGGGAUAACAGGCUGAUCUUGCCCAAGAGUCCACAUCGACGGCAAGGUUUGGCACCUCGAUGUCGGCUCAUCGCAUCCUGGGGCUGGAGCAGGUCCCAAGGGUACGGCUGUUCGCCGUUUAAAGCGGUACGCGAGCUGGGUUCAGAACGUCGUGAGACAGUUCGGUCCCUAUCCUCCGUGGGCGCAGGAGAAUCGAUGGAGGCUGCCCCCAGUACGAGAGGACCGGGGUGGACGCACCUCCGGUGAACCGGUUGUCGACCAACGGCACGGCCGGGUAGCCGCGUGCGGCGCGGAUAACCGCUGAAGGCAUCUAAGCGGGAAGCCGUUCCAGGGAUUAGUUCUCCUUCCGGUAAGGGCCCAGGUAGACUACCUGGUCGAUAGACGGCAGGUGCAAGGCUGGCGACAGCCUCAGCCGAGCCGCACUAAUCGCCCGAGCUCUUCCGGAA